This 2904-nucleotide ribosomal RNA is filed under the name Enterobacter cloacae. RNAcentral describes it as "23S ribosomal RNA". It matches the Rfam family "Bacterial large subunit ribosomal RNA". The record is from RNAcentral. Lineage: Bacteria; Pseudomonadati; Pseudomonadota; Gammaproteobacteria; Enterobacterales; Enterobacteriaceae. RNAcentral also lists the same sequence under 1 other name.
GGUUAAGCGACUAAGCGUACACGGUGGAUGCCCUGGCAGUCAGAGGCGAUGAAGGACGUGCUAAUCUGCGAAAAGCGCCGGCGAGGUGAUAUGAACCCUUGACCCGGCGAUGUCCGAAUGGGGAAACCCAGUGCAAUUCGUUGCACUAUCGUUAACUGAAUACAUAGGUUAACGAGGCGAACCGGGGGAACUGAAACAUCUAAGUACCCCGAGGAAAAGAAAUCAACCGAGAUUCCCCCAGUAGCGGCGAGCGAACGGGGAGCAGCCCAGAGUCUGAAUCAGCUUGUGUGUUAGUGGAAGCGUCUGGAAAGUCGCACGGUACAGGGUGACAGUCCCGUACACGAAAAUGCACAGGUUGUGAACUCGAAGAGUAGGGCGGGACACGUGGUAUCCUGUCUGAAUAUGGGGGGACCAUCCUCCAAGGCUAAAUACUCCUGACUGACCGAUAGUGAACCAGUACCGUGAGGGAAAGGCGAAAAGAACCCCGGCGAGGGGAGUGAAAAAGAACCUGAAACCGUGUACGUACAAGCAGUGGGAGCACCUUCGGGUGUGACUGCGUACCUUUUGUAUAAUGGGUCAGCGACUUAUAUUCUGUAGCAAGGUUAACCGUAUAGGGGAGCCGAAGGGAAACCGAGUCUUAACUGGGCGUUAAGUUGCAGGGUAUAGACCCGAAACCCGGUGAUCUAGCCAUGGGCAGGUUGAAGGUUGGGUAACACUAACUGGAGGACCGAACCGACUAAUGUUGAAAAAUUAGCGGAUGACUUGUGGCUGGGGGUGAAAGGCCAAUCAAACCGGGAGAUAGCUGGUUCUCCCCGAAAGCUAUUUAGGUAGCGCCUCGUGAAUUCAUCUUCGGGGGUAGAGCACUGUUUCGGCUAGGGGGCCAUCCCGGCUUACCAACCCGAUGCAAACUACGAAUACCGAAGAAUGUUAUCACGGGAGACACACGGCGGGUGCUAACGUCCGUCGUGAAGAGGGAAACAACCCAGACCGCCAGCUAAGGUCCCAAAGUCAUGGUUAAGUGGGAAACGAUGUGGGAAGGCCCAGACAGCCAGGAUGUUGGCUUAGAAGCAGCCAUCAUUUAAAGAAAGCGUAAUAGCUCACUGGUCGAGUCGGCCUGCGCGGAAGAUGUAACGGGGCUAAACCAUGCACCGAAGCUGCGGCAGCGACACUAUGUGUUGUUGGGUAGGGGAGCGUUCUGUAAGCCGUUGAAGGUGGCCUGUGAGGGUUGCUGGAGGUAUCAGAAGUGCGAAUGCUGACAUAAGUAACGAUAAAGCGGGUGAAAAGCCCGCUCGCCGGAAGACCAAGGGUUCCUGUCCAACGUUAAUCGGGGCAGGGUGAGUCGACCCCUAAGGCGAGGCCGAAAGGCGUAGUCGAUGGGAAACAGGUUAAUAUUCCUGUACUUGGUGUUACUGCGAAGGGGGGACGGAGAAGGCUAUGUUAGCCGGGCGACGGUUGUCCCGGUUUAAGCAUGUAGGCGGAGGUUCCAGGUAAAUCCGGUACCUUUUUAACGCUGAGGUGUGAUGACGAGGCACUACGGUGCUGAAGUAACAAAUGCCCUGCUUCCAGGAAAAGCCUCUAAGCAUCAGGUAACACGAAAUCGUACCCCAAACCGACACAGGUGGUCAGGUAGAGAAUACCAAGGCGCUUGAGAGAACUCGGGUGAAGGAACUAGGCAAAAUGGUGCCGUAACUUCGGGAGAAGGCACGCUGAUAUGUAGGUGAAGCCCCUGCGGGUGGAGCUGAAAUCAGUCGAAGAUACCAGCUGGCUGCAACUGUUUAUUAAAAACACAGCACUGUGCAAACACGAAAGUGGACGUAUACGGUGUGACGCCUGCCCGGUGCCGGAAGGUUAAUUGAUGGGGUUAGCGGUAACGCGAAGCUCUUGAUCGAAGCCCCGGUAAACGGCGGCCGUAACUAUAACGGUCCUAAGGUAGCGAAAUUCCUUGUCGGGUAAGUUCCGACCUGCACGAAUGGCGUAAUGAUGGCCAGGCUGUCUCCACCCGAGACUCAGUGAAAUUGAACUCGCUGUGAAGAUGCAGUGUACCCGCGGCAAGACGGAAAGACCCCGUGAACCUUUACUAUAGCUUGACACUGAACACUGGUCCUUGAUGUGUAGGAUAGGUGGGAGGCUUUGAAGCGUGGACGCCAGUCUGCGUGGAGCCAACCUUGAAAUACCACCCUUUAAUGGCUGGUGUUCUAACGUAGACCCGUAAUCCGGGUUGCGGACAGUGUCUGGUGGGUAGUUUGACUGGGGCGGUCUCCUCCCAAAGAGUAACGGAGGAGCACGAAGGUUAGCUAAUCCUGGUCGGACAUCAGGAGGUUAGUGCAAUGGCAUAAGCUAGCUUGACUGCGAGAGUGACGGCUCGAGCAGGUGCGAAAGCAGGUCAUAGUGAUCCGGUGGUUCUGAAUGGAAGGGCCAUCGCUCAACGGAUAAAAGGUACUCCGGGGAUAACAGGCUGAUACCGCCCAAGAGUUCAUAUCGACGGCGGUGUUUGGCACCUCGAUGUCGGCUCAUCACAUCCUGGGGCUGAAGUAGGUCCCAAGGGUAUGGCUGUUCGCCAUUUAAAGUGGUACGCGAGCUGGGUUUAGAACGUCGUGAGACAGUUCGGUCCCUAUCUGCCGUGGGCGCUGGAGAAUUGAGGGGGGCUGCUCCUAGUACGAGAGGACCGGAGUGGACGCAUCACUGGUGUUCGGGUUGUCAUGCCAAUGGCACUGCCCGGUAGCUAAAUGCGGAAGAGAUAAGUGCUGAAAGCAUCUAAGCACGAAACUUGCCCCGAGAUGAGUUCUCCCUGAGACUUAAAGUCUCCUGAAGGAACGUUGAAGACGACGACGUUGAUAGGUCGGGUGUGUAAGCGCAGCGAUGCGUUGAGCUAACCGAUACUAAUGAACCGUGAGGCUUAACCUU